GCCUUUGUAGCUCAGUGGUAGAGCGCCAGUCUUGUAAACUGGAGGUCCAGAGUUCGAUCCUCUGCGGAGGCA
Selaginella moellendorffii is the source of this 72-nucleotide transfer RNA. It matches the Rfam family "tRNA". Rfam says of the family: Transfer RNA (tRNA) molecules are approximately 80 nucleotides in length. Their secondary structure includes four short double-helical elements and three loops (D, anti-codon, and T loops). Lineage: Eukaryota; Viridiplantae; Streptophyta; Lycopodiopsida; Selaginellales; Selaginellaceae. The record is from Rfam.